Molecule: long non-coding RNA, 1403 nt
Filed under: Homo sapiens (human)
Lineage: Eukaryota; Metazoa; Chordata; Mammalia; Primates; Hominidae
Description: HSALNT0295453
Source: RNAcentral
GCGAGACCCCGGACCAGCCCGCACCGCGGAGGACCGGAGAGGGCGAUUCGGUGAGUAUAUGGUGAGAAGGCAGCUGUCUGUGAACCAGAAGGAGGGCCCUCACCAAGAAGUGACCAUGCUGGCACCCUGAUCUUGGACUUCUGGCAUCUGGAACUAUCUAGCUAGUUUAAAGAUGAAAACUGCAGCAGAUGAGAAAGAAAAAUACAACUGGAAAACUUGGAUGAAUUAGAAACACUAAACAGUUUUCAGGAAAGCUGAGUAUCAGAGAAAAACAGAUGCUGGAGGAAAAGAAAAAAAGAGGACACAAAAACUGUCCUGGCCAAAGGGGUCAUGACCACACAUUAUCCUUGGAUGAGGGCUUCCUUUAUGGUGACAAUUGAACAGAAGCAUUUAGAGCAGAUUACAAUGCAUAUUAUACGUACAAUGAAAUCAUUGAAACAGAAAAAAGAGCCAAAAUUGAUGUCUUUGCCUUAAAUCUUGCUUCUUUCUAGUUUAUUCUCUCCACAGUGGUCGGGGCAGUCUGAGAGAAUACGGUGGAAUCGAUGGUAUGCGACUUCCAAGGUUAGGUCAUAAAAGACAUUGAAGUUUCUGCUUUGUCUCUUGAAUCACUUUCUCUGGGGGAAACCAGCUACUGGGUCAUAAGGACACUCAAGCAGCACCAUGGAGGGGCCCAAGUGGAGAGAAACCAACUUGCCAGCAUUAACUUGGUAGUUGUGCAGCCAUGUGAAUGAGUGGAUCCUACCAUCCUAGUCAAACCUCUGAUAACUGAAGGUCCCACCUAUAUUUGACUGCAGUCUUCCAACAGACCCCACCCAAGCUGCUCUAGGAUUCCUGACCUACAGAAACUGUGAGGGAUAAGAUAUGCUUGUUGUUUUAACCCACUAAGUUUUAGAGUGAUUUGUUACACAGCAAUAUACAACAAAUACACAAGUCAUCACAGAAAGUUUGCUUGCUUUCAAGCCUGGAACGCCUGGGACCUUCAGUGAACCUCUUCCUCAGAUACAUGCCUGCGUAGUGUCAACUUGCUCUAUUGCUGGGAAGUGCUUGGCUGAUUAUCUUCUUCCUGCCCUGGGAGAUGUCUCACUAAUCAUUCAUUCAUUCAGCAAACAUUACAACGUUCCAGGCACUGUGCUAACUACUGAAUAUUCAGUGAUAUAGGAUAAAAUCUCUGUCCUAAAGUUGCUUGCAGUCAGAUGGGAGAAAAGCAAGUAAAUACAACAAUUUGUGAGCUUUAAAAAAGACCUAUAACAUCUUGUGAAGGAGGGGCAGAACUUAUCAUCCUCAACUAACAUAGAGAAAAUUGUCUCAUAGAGCAGGAGCUGAUAGCCCUUGGCUUUCUGGAUGGAGGAGACAGCAAUGGAGUGGAGGGAUUUCUCAGGAAUCUCCCCCAGGGGCUGCUCUAC